AACGAAUGUUGGCGGCAGGCCUAACACAUGCAAGUCGAGCGGGCAUUCAGGUUUUUUGAAUGCUAGCGGCGAACGGGUGAGUAACGCGUGAGAAUCUACCUUAUUCUUAGGGAUAGUGUAAGGAAUAUCUUGCAGUAAUACCGCAUAAGUCCUGUAUCAGGCAAAGAGUUUAGCGGAAUAAAAUGAGCUUGCGUUAGAUUAGCUAGUUGGUGGGGUAAAGGCCUACCAAGGCGAUGAUCUAUAGCUGGUCUGGGAGGACGACCAGCCACAUUGGGACUGAGACAAGGCCCAAACUUCUACGGAAGGCAGCAGUGGGGAAUAUUGGACAAUGGGCGAAAGCCUGAUCCAGCUAUGUCGCGUGAGUGAUGAAGGUUGUGUGAAUAUCGAUGAAUAUUUUUAACUGUAAAGCUCUUUUAUCGGUGAUAAUUAUGAUUGUAACCGAAGAAUAAGCUCCGGCUAACUCCGUGCCAGCAGCCGCGGUAAUACGGGGGGGAGCAAGUGUUGUUCGGAUUUAUUGGGCGUAAAGGGCGCGUAGGCGGUUUGAUAAGUUGAUACUUAAAUUUUGAGGCUUAACCUCAUAAAAGUGUCAAUACUGUUAAGCUAGAGUUUAGUGGGGGUGAACGGAAUUCCAAGUGUAGAGGUGAAAUUCGUAGAUAUUUGGAGGAACGCCGGAGGCGAAGGCGGUUCAUUAUGCUAAGUUGACGCUAAUGCGCGAAAGCGUGGGGAGCAAACAGGAUUAGAUACCCUGGUAGUCCACGCCGUAAACGAUGAGUGCUAACAGUUGAGGAUAGGUUUGGCUUAUUGCUUGAUUGUGAAAGCUAACGCGUUAAGCACUCCGCCUGGGGAGUACGAUCGCAAGAUUAAAACUCAAAGGAAUUGACGGAGACUCGUACAAGCGGUGGAGCAUGUGGUUUAAUUCGAAACGAAUCGAAGAACCUUACCAGCUCUUGACAUUUUAGGCUGAAACGUUGAGAAAUUAACAAUUCGGUUUUCCAUGAAAGGAAAGCAGGCCUUUAACAGGUGCUGCAUGGCUGUCGUCAGCUCGUGUCGUGAGAUGUAUGGUUAAGUCCUAUAACGAGCGCAACCCUUACCCUUAGUUGCUUAUUAAAGCUCUUUAAGGUGGACCGCUAAUGUUUAGUUAGAGGAAGGGAAGGAUGACGUCUAGUCUUCAUGGCCCUUAUGGGCUGGGCUACACACGUGCUACAAUGGUGGUCACAGAAAGUCGCAAAGUCGCGAGACUGAGCAAAUCUUAAAAGGCCAUCUUAGUUCGGAUUGUACUCUGCAACUCGAGUGCAUGAAGUAGGAAUCGCUAGUAAUCGCGGAUCAGCAUGCCGCGGUGAAUACGUUCUCGGGUCUUGUACACACCGCCCGUCACACCAUGGGAGUUGGCUUUGUCUUAAGCUACGCUAGGCGUAGUGAAAAUAAGGUUAAUAACUGGGGUG
Molecule: ribosomal RNA, 1442 nt
Filed under: Candidatus Hodgkinia cicadicola
Lineage: Bacteria; Pseudomonadati; Pseudomonadota; Alphaproteobacteria; Hyphomicrobiales
Description: bacterial SSU rRNA
Rfam family: Bacterial small subunit ribosomal RNA
Source: RNAcentral